GUCUCAGUUCGGAUUGUAGGCUGAAACUCGCCUACAUGAAGCUGGAGUUGCUAGUAAUCGCGAAUCAGCAUGUCGCGGUGAAUACGUUCCCGGGCCUUGUACACACCGCCCGUCACACCAUGAGAGUUGGCAAUACCCAACGUACGUGAUCUAACCCGCAAGGGAGGAAGCGUCCUAAGGUAGGGUCAGCGAUUGGGGUGAAGUCGUAACAAGGUACC
This 218-nucleotide ribosomal RNA is filed under the name uncultured bacterium. RNAcentral's name for it is "partial 16S ribosomal RNA". It matches the Rfam family "Bacterial small subunit ribosomal RNA", at positions 1285 to 1500 of the family's 1533-position model. The record is from RNAcentral.